Molecule: ribosomal RNA, 406 nt
Filed under: uncultured bacterium
Lineage: Bacteria
Description: partial 16S ribosomal RNA
Rfam family: Bacterial small subunit ribosomal RNA
Source: RNAcentral
AUUGAACGCUGGCGGCAGGCCUAACACAUGCAAGUCGAACGAGUGGCGGACGGGUGAGUAAUGUCUGGGAAACUGCCUGAUGGAGGGGGAUAACUACUGGAAAAGGUAGCUAAUACCGCCUACCAUCGGAUGUGCCCAGAGGGGAUGAGCUAGUAGGUGGGGUAAAGGCUCACCUAGGCGACUAUCCCUAGCUGGGCUGAGAGGAUGACCGGCCGCAGUGUGCCUGUGACACGGGCCAGCCUCCUCCGGGAGGCAGCAGUGGGGAAUAUUGCGCAGUGGGCGCAAGCCUGGUGGAGCCAUGCCGCGUGAAGGAAGAAGGCUUUAGGGUUGUAAAGUACUUUCAGCUGAGAAGCGUUACCCGCAGAGGAAGCACCGGCUAAGUCCGUGACAGCCGCCGCGGUAAUAG